Chelonia mydas (Green sea turtle) is the source of this 3580-nucleotide long non-coding RNA. RefSeq lists it as uncharacterized. The transcript has 4 exons. The record is from RefSeq and is a predicted model, not a curated record. Lineage: Eukaryota; Metazoa; Chordata; Testudines; Cheloniidae.
UCAAAGACUCUGGUGACAGAUGCCUCCAUGACAAUCUUCAAACACAUGAUCUAUGGAGUUUUCUGGGUUCACAUGCAUGUCUUGGAGCUAAGGGGUAUUCAUCAACUGGGCACAGUUUUCCUUUCAGUUCUGAAAAGCCUGGUAAGCCAGAUCAUAAUGGACAUCACUACAGCCUUGUUUUAUAUAAAUAAACAAGUGGGAGCAAGAACCACCCCUCUGUGUCAAGAGAUGUGCAUCUGUGGAACUACUGUAUCAGUCACAAAAUUACUUCAAUAGCUCUACUACUGCCAGUCCUGCAAAAUGUGCUGGUGGAUCACCUCAGCAAACAGUUUGCGAACAACCAUGAGUGGUCAGUAAAGGAUACCUUUAUUUGUUCAAGAUGUACUCCUCAGAUCGGGUCAUCCAGCCAUAGACAUCUUUGGCACCAAAGAGAACAAGAAGUUCCAUAAGUUCUGCUCUAGAGGAGGGCAGAAUCAGGGAUUACUGUCCUGACACAUUCCUUAUCCGCCGUUCCCCAGGUCUAACAUAUGCUUACCCUUCGAUUCCAUUGAUCCCAAGUUUCUCAAGAAACUCAGGAUUCUGCCAGGAUGAUCAUGGUAACUCCAGCCUAACCCAGGCAGUUUUGGUUCUUGGAUCUGAUGAAUCUCUCCAACCAAACUCCAAUACAAUUUGCCUCUUUAGCCAGAUAUGAUAUCUCAAAGAGAUGGACAGAUCCUCCAUUCAGAUUCACUUUCCUUGCAUCUACUAGCAUGGAUGCUAGCUGGUUAACAUCAGUAGAGGGGAUCUGUUCUGAUGAAGUACAGAACAUUGAGCAUUCUCAGUCUACAAGGCUUUCUUACUCUGCCAAGUAGAAGAGUUUCACUAUCUGGGCACAACACCACCAGUUGUCUUUGUUUGAAACUUAGAUACCAGGUAUACUGGAUUACCUUCUAUCCUUAGAACUCUGGACUACCUAAUGAACUCCCUGAGGGUCCACCUAGCAGCCAUCUCUGCUUUCAACCCUCCCGUUCAGGAGUAUUCUACUCUUUCCAUGCUGUGCAGUAGCUAGGUUCCUGAAAGGCCUUGUGCAGGUAUAUCCCACAGUUAGAGAGCCUCCCUCCUCCUUGGAAUCUCAAUAUUGUAUUGACGGCUUUAAUAGGUCCAUCUUUUGAGCCACCAGCUGGGUAUUCCUUCAUUCAAUUAUCCAUCAAAAUAUCCUUUAUAAUAGCAAUAACACCUUCCAGAAAGGUAGGGGCAAUAUAAACUUGCAUGGCGGGAUCUGUGUACAUGGUUUUUCAUAAAGAUAGAGUAGUCUUCAGACCUCACAGAAAGUUCCUGCCUAAAAUAGUCUGAUUUCCAUCUUGAACAUGUAACACUUCUCCCUGUUUUCUUUCCAAAGCCACAUUCCAGCAAAGGAGGUGGGGCUAAAAUUACAUCCCAGAGAUUCUUAGUACAUUUUCUUUCUACCUGAAUAAGACUAAGCCAUUUAGGGCAUUCCCAGAUUAUUUGUAGUUGAUGGGGACAGGAUGAAAGGUCAUAUCAACAUGGAGACAUUCUAACUGGAUUUCUGCAGGCUUUAGGUUGUGCUAUGAAAUUGCCCGCUUAAGACCCAGUGGUGAGAGUGACAGCCCACUCCACAAGACCUUGAGUAGCUUCUGUAUCUUCUUUGAGAAAUGGUCCGUAUUAGAGAUAUGUGGGCAGCUUUCUGGGGUUUUGUGCUUAUGUUUUUGCAGCAUUAUUUCAUAGUAUAAGCAUCAAGAUCUGAUUCCCCUUUUUGGCAGAGCUGUCUUACAAUCAUUGUUCAAUAUUUCCCACCUCCUGUUAUUUAGUCACUACUUGUGUGUCACCAACCAUGGAAUAUAAAUAGCCAAGCACUCAAAGAAGCAACAACAGUUACUUACUUUACUAACUGUGGUUCUAAAAGAUGUAUUGUCCUUAUAUAUUCCAUGACCUAUCCUCCUUUUUUGCUACCAGGAGUCUGACAACACCUCUAUUCUGUAUUGGCGAAGGAACAAAGGAGCAGUUGGGUUAGCCCCAGCUUUUAUGCCCUCGGUCAAAGGCACAAGAACACCAAGUGCAGGCAUGGCCACCUACCCCAACAAACACAGCUGGCAAAAAAAAUCCGAACUCAAGUGCAUAGGGGACAUGUGGACCAACAAUGGAAUAUAUAUAUGGACAACACAUAUCAAAGAACCAGUGUUACUGUAAGCCAUCUGUCACAGAGCGCCUCUGUCACUGCCCAGUGAACUACAGCUGGACUCCCAUACCUACUCCAAAAGGCGUGACAACAACAGGAGCCUUUGCCUUGGGAAAAUCCAGUUGGAAAAGGUCCUGACUGUUCAAGGGCCCAGAUCCCAAAGUCUCUGAACUAAGAUGCUCCAGCAGUGACGUUACAAUGCUUUAUCUAGUUUAUGGUUUUGCAUCGCACUCGUCAUUGCAAUGUUAGAAAGUACCAGGGAAAUGGACUAGUGAGCAACAGACAAGCGAGAUGAUAAAAGAAAAAUUCAUCGGAAUGUCAAAUCUAUGAGCUAUAUCAAUGCAGCACCUUAUUUUUCAGGAAAAGACAGCACCAGUCUACAAUAUUAAUUUUUUGAUUACCACCACCAAUGCCUCUCAUCUCUGAGACAGUGGUUUGGGAUUCUGAGCCUAUUAUGUUGCUUGGAAUCUUAGGCCUAAUUCUAGUCCUCCUGAAGUCAAUGUGAGUCUUUCCACUUACUUCAGCUGGAAUCGGAUAAAGCUGUCUGUGAUUUUCAUCCAUUCCUUAAGGUGAAGAUCUACUCUGAAAAGUGACUGUCAACAUGACCAUGAGCUGCCAUGAUGACUGUAGGUCAGUGACUUCUAGGUCAGACUUUAUUUAAGUUUACAAGCAAAGAAUUGUUGUUUUCCAUCAACAGGACAAACUGUUCUUUAUUGCUCAAGCUUCAUCAUCAGUAAUAAAGAUUUAGGAAGCAAAAAUUCUGACCUGUUCGACAUUAAUGCUUUCAGUAGAAUUAUACAGGUGUAACUGAGGGCAGAAUUGGGCAGUUGGAACUUAGUUUACAUUCUGUUGAUGUGUGAGCCAGAAAAGAGUUCAGCUCUUUCCUGUAGAUGUGAUCAUUCUGCAGUGCUACCAGGAAUAAAAGAUAAUUAAAAUGUAUUUUUCUCAUGGAAGCAAGUAGAUGUGACUCAGAAUGCACUCAGGGAACAGUUCUGCUGAGUUAAAAGAUGCCAUUUUUAUUUAGUCACCAUAACUGCACUGUUAUGCAAGAACAAAGUGGCAUAGACUUAACCCUGCACUCAUUAGGCCUGAUUCAUAUCUGCCCUGCACCUUGUAUAGUCAUUUACACCAUUGCAAUAGUCAACUGUUCUGAUCUGAUACCAUUUGAUAUAUAUGCUGCACUGACUCUGCACUAGUGUACAGGUUGCACACCGGGCAAAGGAGUGGGUAAUUAGACCCACUGUUUAUAUUUUAGUCCAAAGGACAUAGAAGUCAAACAUCCUUCUCCCCGUCCACCAUGCUCUGCCAUUAACAUCAGUUAGUUUUUGUAAAAAAAAAUGCAUUCCUUUCCCCAGGAGCACAUUAUCUGUACAACACUCCAAUAUAUUGCUAGAAACAUUCCAC